GAAUUGCCAAUGGGCGAAGCCUGACGCAGCGACGCCGCGUGGGUGAUGAAGCUCUUCGGAGUGUAAAACCCUGUCAGUGGGGAAGAACCGCGCAGGGAGUAACUGUCCUGCGCCUGACGGUACCCGCAGAGGAAGCUCCGGCUAACUCCGUGCCAGCAGCCGCGGUAAUACGGAGGGGGCGAGCGUUGUUCGGAUUUACUGGGCGUAAAGGGCGCGUAGGCGGGACAGCAAGUCAAAUGUGAAAGCCAGCGGCUCAACCGUUGGUCGGCAUUUGAAACUGCUGUUCUUGAGUACGGGAGAGGAAAGCGGAAUUCCUGGUGUAGCGGUGAAAUGCGUAGAUAUCAGGAGGAACACCGGUGGCGAAGGCGGCUUUCUGGUCCGAUACUGACGCUGAGGCGCGAAGGCCAGGGGAGCAAACAGGAUUAGAUACCCUGGUAGUCCUGGCAGUAAACGAUGGGCACUAGGUGUUGGAGGUAUCGACCCCUUCAGUGCCGCAGCUAACGCAUUAAGUGCCCCGCCUGGGGAGUACGACCGCAAGGUUGAAACUCAAAAGAAUUGACGGA
RNAcentral lists this ribosomal RNA (563 nucleotides) under uncultured bacterium. RNAcentral's name for it is "bacterial SSU rRNA". It matches the Rfam family "Bacterial small subunit ribosomal RNA", at positions 359 to 917 of the family's 1533-position model. The record is from RNAcentral.